This 468-nucleotide ribosomal RNA is filed under the name uncultured bacterium. RNAcentral describes it as "partial 16S ribosomal RNA". It matches the Rfam family "Bacterial small subunit ribosomal RNA", at positions 28 to 507 of the family's 1533-position model. The record is from RNAcentral.
GACGAACGCUGGCGGCGUGCUUAACACAUGCAAGUCGAACGGUGAAGCUCCAGCUUGCUGGAGUGGAUCAGUGGCGAACGGGUGAGUAACACGUGAGCAACCUGCCCCUGACUCUGGAAUAAGCGCUGGAAACGGCGUCUAAUACUGGAUACGAGAAGGGUCCGCAUGGGCACCUUCUGGGAAGUUUUUCGGUUGGGGAUGGGCUCGCGGCCUAUCAGCUUGUUGGUGAGGUAAUGGCUCACCAAGGCGACGACGGGUAGCCGGCCUGAGAGGGCGACCGGCCACACUGGGACUGAGACACGGCCCAGACUCCUACGGGAGGCAGCAGUGGGGAAUAUUGCACAAUGGGCGAAAGCCUGAUGCAGCGACGCCGCGUGAGGGAUGACGGCCUUCGGGUUGUAAACCUCUUUCAGCAGGGAAGAAGCGAAAGUGACGGUACCUGCAGAAGAAGCACCGGCUAACUACGUG